This is a long non-coding RNA of Aricia agestis (brown argus), 91 nucleotides long. RefSeq lists it as uncharacterized. Lineage: Eukaryota; Metazoa; Arthropoda; Insecta; Lepidoptera; Lycaenidae. The transcript has 4 exons. The record is from RefSeq and is a predicted model, not a curated record.
UAGCUCUAUUGGAACGGCGGACAAUUUGGUGCGUAUGGCCCGUCUACAUCAGUUUAAAUAGAAGUCUUUGCUUAGUUAAUAAACUUAACUU